ACACGUAGGGGGCGAGCGUUGUUCGGAAUCAUUGGGCGUAAAGGGCGUGCAGGCGGUCCUGCAAGUCCGGCGUGAAAGACCCCGGCCCAACCGGGGGGACGCGCUGGAAACUGCAGGGCUUGAGUACAGGAGGGGAUGCCGGAAUUCCAGGUGUAGGGGUGAAAUCUGUAGAUAUCUGGAAGAACACCAAUGGCGAAGGCAGGCAUCUGGCCAUGUACUGACGCUGAGACGCGAAGGUGCGGGGAGCAAACAGGUUUAGAUACCCUGGUAGUCCGCACAGUAAACGAUGUGCACCAGGUGGCGGGGGGUCGACCCCCGGUACCGUAGCUAACGCAUUAAGUGCACCGCCUGGGGAGUAUGCUCGCAAGGGUGAAACUCAAAUGAAUUGGCGGGG
RNAcentral lists this ribosomal RNA (394 nucleotides) under uncultured bacterium. Its description in RNAcentral is "partial 16S ribosomal RNA". It matches the Rfam family "Bacterial small subunit ribosomal RNA", at positions 523 to 918 of the family's 1533-position model. The record is from RNAcentral.